RNAcentral lists this ribosomal RNA (486 nucleotides) under uncultured bacterium. Its description in RNAcentral is "partial 16S ribosomal RNA". It matches the Rfam family "Bacterial small subunit ribosomal RNA", at positions 30 to 507 of the family's 1533-position model. The record is from RNAcentral.
AUUGAACGCUGGCGGCAUGCCUUACACAUGCAAGUCGAACGGCAGCACGGGUGCUUGCACCUGGUGGCGAGUGGCGAACGGGUGAGUAAUACAUCGGAACAUGUCCUGUAGUGGGGGAUAGCCCAGCGAAAGCCGGAUUAAUACCGCAUACGAUCUACGGAUGAAAGCGGGGGACCUUCGGGCCUCGCGCUAUAGGGUUGGCCGAUGGCUGAUUAGCUAGUUGGUGGGGUAAAGGCCUACCAAGGCGACGAUCAGUAGCUGGUCUGAGAGGACGACCAGCCACACUGGGACUGAGGCACGGCCCAGACUCCUACGGGAGGCAGCAGUGGGGAAUUUUGGACAAUGGGCGAAAGCCUGAUCCAGCAAUGCCGCGUGUGUGAAGAAGGCCUUCGGGUUGUAAAGCACUUUUGUCCGGAAAGAAAUCCUUGGCCCUAAUACGGUCGGGGGAUGACGGUACCGGAAGAAUAAGCACCGGCUAACUACGUG